CAGACUCUUGUGGCUUACCGUGGAACCGACCGCUGCCCAGGCUACGGGAAUAACAUUGUCAUUAGAGCAAGACAAAAGCUACGCCUUGUAUGACAUCAUAAGCUUGCAAAAAUAUGCUUAAGGGUAUAUUAGACCACGUACGAAACUGUCAGUGGUUAUGGGGUGGUUUCCUAGAAUUGUCAAGCUUACGUCUAUACCAUUAGUAAAUGAGCAGAAGCUAUUCUAGAGAAAAAACUAUCACAAAGUAGAACGAAUUGUCAUUCUCAGUGAUAAUCAAGCAGCACUUCAGGCAAUCUAAUCUGUUGAAAUCAAAUCAACUAGUACUAGAGUGCAUAUACAUAAAUGCUUACUGAAAAUAAAAUCCUACCAGCAUGAAUUCCGGGCAUGGAGUCAUUAAUGGAAAUGGGUUAACUGGCCUUCUGGGCAAAACAAGCUGUGACAACCAGUCCAAUAAGGCCGGAACCUUUCUUCGCUGUGGGUACUCACACUUUACGAAUGAAGCUAUAGAAAACCUUACUGGCAACAAGCGUCUGGGUUUCGACAGGCGAGAUUAUUUCUGCGAGUGUUCAAUAAAAAACGAUUCAAAGAACUAAUUACUCUUCACAGAGAAAUACCAAAUAAGGUGUCAUGAGUCACGGAUUACAGACUCCUAGAUUGCCCCGCUAUAGCAAGAAGAAAGGCUAUGGCUAUCGAGCCAAUAAAUCUUAUGUGAGUAUAUACAUUACAACCAUAAACCUAAAGGCUUUCCAAGCAUAAUUAAUUUUACUGGCCUAAACGAAGUGUGAAUGCGAUAUUAGCAUUGAGCACAAAAGACAACGGGUCACAGUGCAUUCCUUGAAUCUUAAUCUCUCUUUGAAUCCUAAUCUCUCUAACUGAACACUAAUUUGUGGGCACACAAUCAUGUUGAGGUUAAAAAUCUUGAAGUGUGCAAAUUAUCGAUAUUUUUAGGAGGAGAAUCAUUCAGAUAAUUUCUUGCUCCAAUACAUAUCUAGCUUUCGCUGGACUGCAGUUGAAGUAUUUUUCGACAGUCAAUCCAUCGAUAAUUUGGUUGCAUGUGAUAAAAUCCAACAAAACAAAUUUAAGACUGGUUGAAACCGUAUUUGCGAGAAUUAUUUUAUCCAUACUAAACAGUUCUUGGAAUCAUAAAAAAGCGACGUUCUUAGCUGUAUACAUAUAUAUCUUUUUUGAGCCUUGCUACUAGGAUCAGUCCUAUUACUUUCCUAGGCUAAUUCAGCCAUUUUCUUACUAAGUAAAUUCCAAAUAAAACGUUUGACUUUUUUUAGCGCCCACUGUAGACCGGAACCAAAUAAAAGCAUAUAAUCUAUGAUAUACUGCAGCCUAACAAAAACAAGCAAGUGCAGAACUCUUGAAGACCUGGUGUAUAUAUCUAUCAAGCUACAUACUCCAGUAACGGCAUACAAAAUUGUUACCAUUAAAUCAAAGAGUGGAGUUACCGUUAUGUUUUAUACGUGCUUUGUUUGUUUUAAUAUUAUCUUCAAAAUUAAAAGAAAAUAAGAAAUAUCUUUAUCUUGGUCUUAUUUCCCAUUAAACCGUUAUAAUCCACACAAAGCGCUAUCUCCGUCACUGGAAAAUUCGAACGCUCCAUUUCUUUUAAGAAUAAAUUAGAAAUUUCCAUAUACUUCAAAUAGAUUUUAAUCCACGUGGAAAUGUCGUGCAAUAAACCAAGCCGUUAUAAAUAGCAACACGGAUAAAAAACAACAACUGCUGAGGGGAAUAUGCAUUAUAAGUGAGAUUAUAUGGCGAAGGAGAUAUUAAAAGGCAAAGAAACCCUAAGAAUCGAGUGAGAUUUAAAACAAAAAGCGCUGAAUGCAAAAGUAAAGAAAAAGUAGUAAAGGACAACAGCUAAAAACUCGGCAAAGAAUGCAACACAGAGUGCGAAACGAUGCAAUAAGCAAAGGAACAAUAACAGUAAUAAUAACUUCUACAAAGCGGUGUAAAAAGUAAUGGACAGACAAAGCUGCCGGAUUGUAAAACCAAACAUAUAUGUAUAGUAUAUAUAUAAAUGUAUGUGUGUAUGUGUAUGAAGGGACUUUUUAAGCACAAGUAUGUAGAAUAGUGUUUCUGUGGAGACGCCACCAUCAAGGACGGGAAUCAGGGGCAGGGAAUACAAGAUAUGCGCUUCACGACAAAAUGCAUGAGGAUACGGCGGGAAAGCUACAACACAGAGAUGCUUUGCUUGUUUGCAGCAACAUAUUAUUAAAGUUUUCUUAGUUUCGCGACGCGUUUGUGAGUGCGGUGGGGGCGGUGAGGCUGCGUGGGCAAGGAAAUCUAUCAAAUUGAAUUGUGUUGUUAUGCAGAUGAACACAAAACUUAUGGAACUUGUACACGGCAAAUCUAGUAGUUAGAUACUUCGAGCGAGAGUUGAGUGAAGCAGCGAAAAAAGUCGAAACGCACAAAAUAUCAUGUAGCGCCAAGGAUAAGCAGCGAAAACCAAAAGAAAAAAGUACGAAACUGAAACUAAAAAUAUAUUGGAAAUAUGUGAUUGUAUGUGUGUGUGUGUGUGUGUGUGUUAAGAAACUGGUAAUAAGGAACGAAUAACUACAAAUACUAAGAAGAUGUACAGUUCACGCUAAAGUGGAAAUAUAUACGUCUGUAUAUAGUAUAUGUGUGUGUGAUUGUUGUUGUGUGCUUUUAUGCAGAAACUGGAACAGUUCACUGCGCAUUGUAGCUGCCCCAUGUCAAUAUCACAGCGCACUAGGUAAACUAUAGACCUACUUAUGCACCGGUGUGUGUGUGUGUGUGUGAGUAUGUGUAUGUGUAGGCAAAGGCGAGCGCUAGAUGACUACUCGGAGCUAGGGAUUUUAGGGAAAUUAAAAUUGUUCUUCUAUCAAUACACACACACAUACAUGGCUACGUGUAGAAAUAUUUAUUUAUUUGUUUGCUGACUCAUUACUUGCUAUUGGAACACCUGCGGAGUGGGGGGGCAGGGGUAUGGUAACAUUUAUGGUUGAACGCUACAUAAACACUCACACACAUGUCGCUACGGUUAAUGCAUGUGUGCGCACUAGAGGGUUAAGCGAGUAAUACUUUUCGUCGAAAUUUCUAAAUUUUUUGUUUUUGUUAUUUUUUUUGUUUAUUUUUUUAAGCGCUAAAUACACUUUCAGAUGCAAGUUAAAGCAACAACAAUCUCGAAAGUAAUAACAACGAAAUAAUGACGGAAAACUGAACAUUAAGUUAAUGUGAUGAGAGUCGAUUUCUAAGCAAGUGUUCUUAACAAAAACAAAAACAACAAAAUAGUGUUUACUUAUGUAUGCGCAGCAUCCUUAAUUGUAAUGUUGCAAUGAUGCUUUAUUUUUUCGUUUUUUUU
Long non-coding RNA from Bactrocera dorsalis (oriental fruit fly), 3328 nucleotides. RefSeq lists it as uncharacterized. The transcript is spliced from 2 exons. Lineage: Eukaryota; Metazoa; Arthropoda; Insecta; Diptera; Tephritidae. The record is from RefSeq and is a predicted model, not a curated record.